Molecule: ribosomal RNA, 561 nt
Filed under: uncultured fungus
Lineage: Eukaryota; Fungi
Description: eukaryotic LSU rRNA
Rfam family: Eukaryotic large subunit ribosomal RNA
Source: RNAcentral
AAACCAACAGGGAUUGCCCUAGUAACGGCGAGUGAAGCGGCAACAGCUCAAAUUUGAAAUCUGGCUUCGGCCCGAGUUGUAAUUUGCAGAGGAUGCUUCUGGCGCGGUGCCUUCCGAGUUCCCUGGAACGGGACGCCACAGAGGGUGAGAGCCCCGUAUGGUCGGACACCAAGCCUGUGUGAAGCUCCUUCGACGAGUCGAGUAGUUUGGGAAUGCUGCUCUAAAUGGGAGGUAAAUCUCUUCUAAAGCUAAAUACCGGCCAGAGACCGAUAGCGCACAAGUAGAGUGAUCGAAAGAUGAAAAGCACCUUGAAAAGGGGGCUAAAUAGUACGUGAAAUUGUUGAAAGGGAAGCACUUGUGACCAGACUUGGGCCGGGCGGCUCAUCAGGGGUUCUCCCCUGUGCACUCCGCCCGGCACAGGCCAGCAUCGGUUCUCGUGGGGGGAUAAGACCGUUAGGAACGUAGCACCCUCCGGGGUGUGUUAUAGCCUGGCGGACGAUACCCCCGUGGGGACCGAGGUUCGCGCUCCGCAAGGAUGCUGGCGUAAUGGUCACCAGUGAC